UGUUAAGGUCUGGUAGCUAUGACUGGGUUACUGUUAGGAUCUGGUAGCUGUGACUGGGUUAUUGUUAGGAUCUGGUAGCUGUGACUGGGUUAUUGUUAGGUUCUGGUAGCUGUGACUGGGUAAUGUUAGGGUCUGGUAGCUGUGACUGGGUUAUUGUUAGGGUCUGGUAGCUGUGACUGGGUUAUUGUUAGGUUCUGGUAGCUGUGACUGGGUUAUUGUUAGGGUCUGGUAGCUGGGUUACUGUUAGGGUCUGGUAACUGUGACUGGGUUAUUGUUAGGGUCUGGUAGCUGGGUUAUUGUUAGGGUCUGGUAGCUGUGACUGGGUUACUGUUAGGGUCUGGUAGCUGUGACUGGGUUAUUGUUAGGGUCUGGUAGCUGGGUUACUGUCUGGUAGCUGUAACUGGGUUAUUGUUAGGGUCUGGUAGCUGGGUUACUGUUAGGGUCUGGUUGUUGGGUUAUUGUCAGGGUCUGGUAGCUGGGUUAUUGUUAGGGUCUAGUAGCUGUGACUGGGUUAUUGUUAGGGUCUGGUAGCUGUGACUGGGUUAUUGUUAGGGUCUGGUAGCUGGGUUACUGUUAGGGUCUGGUAGCUGUGACUGGGUUACUGUUAGGGUUACCUGUGUCCAGCCUCUCUGUCAUAGGACCAGGUCCCACGGUGAAUCUCCUUCAAUGCUUCAGGGAAGGAUCCCUUCCAUUUUGUCCCACCUCUCCUUCAACCCAAAACACUCCUGGUAAUCUGUCCCCCUUUCGAUCCUGGAAGAAAUUAAAUAAUGAUCCAACGUUGCUUGUUUUACAUGUUAACAGAGGGCCUUUUUUGUCCCAAAUGGCACCCUAUUCCCUUUUCAGGUGCUCUACUGCCAUAAGGGUCUGGUCAAAAGUAGUGUACUAUAUAGGGAACAGGAUGCAUUUCUUAAGUGACCAUUCAGCUACAGGACCAUACUGACCGUCAUGGGUGCUGCUCCACCCUUAUCUCAAACAGGCAGGUAUCUCCCUACAGCUUGGGGAUCAGUUUGAAAGCUGAACUGAGCCAAGCCAAGUUGUACUGUACUGAUCUGAGUUGCUGGAACCGUGCAGUUUGGGUCUGCUCAAUAUUGUGAAAUGGUUAUAACAGCUCCUCGCCCUCCCCUCCCCUCCCCUGCCCUCUCCUCUCCUUUCCUCUCCUCUCCUCUCCUCAACUCUGCUCUCCUCUCCUCUCCCUUCCCUUCAAACUAAUUGACUUUCAUUUGUCUUCUUCGCCUUCCUCUACUGUCGUGUACCUUCUGAAUUCAUCAGUCGUAGCAAGUUGUCAAUUAAAAAGGCAUCACCCACUAAAACUGAUGGCUGACUUCAUGUUAAUUAAUAUCUAGGCUUUAUGAUGUGUGAUACUGGCCCCAGUACAGCCCUUUGGUAUGUGAUGAGCAUUUAACAAAUUACACCCUAUUCCCUAUUCCCAUAGGGCUCUGGUCAAAAGUAGUACACUAUAUAGGGAAUAUGGUGCCUUUUGGGAUGCGGUCAAAGCCACAUUGUGGAAGCUAAGACCUAAUGCUCGUCUGUUGAAAUGAAGACAGAUGCUGAAAUGGCCUUAAAGGAAAAGUUCUGGAUUUUUCUGGACUGAUUUCUUCAUCCCGCCCACACCCUACUGGCUUUCUGUCCGACUCGACUCCCACUCGCUACAGCAAGAACUGGUCCCAAACCAAACCCUUGUCCAGCAAUGUUAUUUUAGGCAUAAGCGAUGCAGCUCACUUGCCAUCCAUGGUCCUAGCUAUUUAUGCGCCAAUUAUAGGCAAUAUCAAAAUCUGCAAAAAAUAACCUAAGAAAUAGGUAAAAUUAGCAGAGAAAUUUAAGGGCCCAUUAUAUUAAGCUGCCUGUAUUACUGGGCUAUAUCAGUCAAUAUGAUAGAUGUAGUUUGGAGAGAAAAGAGUUGGAGAGACUUGCACUUUCUCUUGAGCUAUUUUAAUAGCCUGCCUUUUAGGAGUGGGAAGAUUUUCAGACGGAGACUAAUAUGGGUGAUCAAUAUUUAUUUCUAGCCAAUGCAAUAAACUACAGCCUCAUCAUAUUUAGGAAGUACAUUUCCUUGGGAAGAUGACUGUACUGUGCUUCUAUGUCCAUGCAUAGUCUAUAGCCUACUCUAGUUAAUUGAGAUCACACUCGCACCUGAUCUCGCACCUCUGGCAACUGAUCUGGAUGCAGCAGGAAUAAUGACAGCGAGCUACACUUGCAAUUUCCCUUGAGCUACGUUUUGCAUAUAAGAUAUAUAUCCUACCUUUUAGGAGGACGAUUAACAUAUAGGAUAUAUUCUACCUUUUAUGAGGACGAUUAGCAUAUAGGAUAUAUCCUACCAUUUAGGAGGACGAUUAGCAUAUAGGAUAUAUCCAAACUUUUAGGAGCAUGAUUAGCAUAUUGGAUAUAUCCUACCUUUUUGGACUAAAAUUGAGCUUUUUGGCCAUCAAGGAAAACACUAUGUGUGGCGGAAACCCAACACCUCUCAUCACCCCGAGAACACCAUCCCCACAGUGAAGCAUGUUGGUGGCAGCAUCAUGCUGUGGGGAUGUUUUUCAUCUGCAGGUACCGGGAAACUGGUCAGAAUUUAAGGAAUGAUGGAUAGCGCUAAAUAAAGGGAAAUUCUUGAUGGAAAUCUGUUUCAGUCUUCAAGAGAUUUGAGACUGGGACGUAGGUUCACCUUCCAGCAGGACAAGGACCCUAAGCAUACUGCUAAAACAAUUCUCGAGUGAUUUAAGGGGAAACAUUUAAAUGUCUUGGAAUGGCCUAGUCAAAGCCCAGACCUCAAUCCAAUUGAGAAUCUGUGGUAUGACUUAAAGAUUGCUGUACACCAGCGGAACCCAUCCAACUUGAAGGAGCUGGAGCAGUUUUACCUUGAAGAAUGGGCAAAAAUCCCAGUGGCUAGAUGUGCCAAGCUUAUAGAGACAUACCCCAAGAAACUUGCAGCUGUAAUUGCUGCAAAAGGUGGCUCUACAAUGUAUUGACUUUGGAUGGGGUGAAUAAUUAUGCACACUGAAGUUUUCAGUUUUUUUGUCUUAUUUCUUGUUUGUUUUACAAUAAAAAAUAUUUUGU
RNAcentral lists this long non-coding RNA (3048 nucleotides) under Salmo salar (Atlantic salmon). RNAcentral's name for it is "lncRNA (ENSSSAG00000110927.1)". Lineage: Eukaryota; Metazoa; Chordata; Actinopteri; Salmoniformes; Salmonidae. The record is from RNAcentral.